GCAAACUUGGUCAUUUAGAGGAAGUAAAAGUCGUAACAAGGUUUCCGUAGGUGAACCUGCGGAAGGAUCAUUAUUAAUUGUGAUUCGUUGCCUUUGGUGCUGGCUCAGCUCAGCUGUGCAUGUGCACAUUGGUGACUUUCAUCCAAAUACCUUUGUGAACCUUUGGCCUCUUGCUAGCUUCGGUUGGCGGGGGAUUUACAAAUUACCUCGAAUGUAAUGAAAUAAUUCGUGCGCAAGCACUUAUGUACAACUUUCAACAACGGAUCUCUUGGCUCUCGCAUCGAUGAAGAACGCAGC
Molecule: unclassified non-coding RNA, 297 nt
Filed under: uncultured fungus
Lineage: Eukaryota; Fungi
Description: partial contains small subunit ribosomal RNA, internal transcribed spacer 1, and 5.8S ribosomal RNA
Rfam family: Eukaryotic small subunit ribosomal RNA (bases 1-73)
Source: RNAcentral